RNAcentral lists this ribosomal RNA (253 nucleotides) under uncultured bacterium. RNAcentral's name for it is "partial 16S ribosomal RNA". It matches the Rfam family "Bacterial small subunit ribosomal RNA", at positions 524 to 776 of the family's 1533-position model. The record is from RNAcentral.
UACGUAGGGGGCAAGCGUUGUCCGGAAUCAUUGGGCGUAAAGAGCGUGUAGGCGGCUCGGUAAGUCCGCUGUGAAAGUCCAGGGCUCAACCCUGGAAUGCCGGUGGAAACUGUCGAGCUAGAGUCCGGAAGAGGCGAGUGGAAUUCCUGGUGUAGCGGUGAAAUGCGCAGAUAUCAGGAGGAACACCAAUGGCGAAGGCAGCUCGCUGGGACGGUACUGACGCUGAGACGCGAAAGCUAGGGGAGCAAACGGG